CUAGCGACUUCAGAGUUUGAUCCUGGCGUCAGGAUGAACGCUGCGGCAUGCCUAACACAUGCAAGUCGAACGAAGCACAUGAGACAGCUUGCUGAGGAUUGUGACUUAGUGGCGAACGGGUGAGUAAUGCAUGAGCAACCUGCCCUUCAGUGGGGGACAACAGUUGGAAACGACUGCUAAUACCGCAUAAUACUUCCGAAAGGCAUCUUUUGGAAGUCAAAGAUUUAUUGCUGAAGGAUGGGCUCAUGUCUGAUUAGCUAGUUGGUGAGGUAACGGCUCACCAAGGCGACGAUCAGUAGCCGGUCUGAGAGGAUGAACAGCCACAUUGGGACUGAGAUACGGCCCAG
RNAcentral lists this ribosomal RNA (347 nucleotides) under uncultured bacterium. RNAcentral's name for it is "bacterial SSU rRNA". It matches the Rfam family "Bacterial small subunit ribosomal RNA", at positions 1 to 334 of the family's 1533-position model. The record is from RNAcentral.